RNAcentral lists this ribosomal RNA (484 nucleotides) under uncultured bacterium. RNAcentral's name for it is "partial 16S ribosomal RNA". It matches the Rfam family "Bacterial small subunit ribosomal RNA", at positions 29 to 507 of the family's 1533-position model. The record is from RNAcentral.
AGUGAACGCUGGCGGCAGGCCUAACACAUGCCAGUCGAGCGGAUGAAGGGAGCUUGCUCCUGGAUUCAGCGGCGGACGGGUGAGUAAUGCCUAGGAAUCUGCCUGGUAGUGGGGGAUAACGUCCGGAAACGGGCGCUAAUACCGCAUACGUCCUGAGGGAGAAAGUGGGGGAUCUUCGGACCUCACGCUAUCAGAUGAGCCUAGGUCGGAUUAGCUAGUUGGUGGGGUAAAGGCCUACCAAGGCGACGAUCCGUAACUGGUCUGAGAGGAUGAUCAGUCACACUGGAACUGAGACACGGUCCAGACUCCUACGGGAGGCAGCAGUGGGGAAUAUUGGACAAUGGGCGAAAGCCUGAUCCAGCCAUGCCGCGUGUGUGAAGAAGGUCUUCGGAUUGUAAAGCACUUUAAGUUGGGAGGAAGGGCAGUAAGUUAAUACCUUGCUGUUUUGACGUUACCAACAGAAUAAGCACCGGCUAACUUCGUG